CACUAUCGUUAACUGAAUACAUAGGUUAACGAGGCGAACCGGGGGAACUGAAACAUCUAAGUACCCCGAGGAAAAGAAAUCAACCGAGAUUCCCCCAGUAGCGGCGAGCGAACGGGGAGCAGCCCAGAGUCUGAAUCAGCUUGUGUGUUAGUGGAACGGUCUGGAAAGUCCGACGGUACAGGGUGAUAGUCCCGUACACCAAAAUGCACAGGUUGUGAACUCGAAGAGUAGGGCGGGACACGUGGUAUCCUGUCUGAAUAUGGGGGGACCAUCCUCCAAGGCUAAAUACUCCUGACUGACCGAUAGUGAACCAGUACCGUGAGGGAAAGGCGAAAAGAACCCCGGCGAGGGGAGUGAAAAAGAACCUGAAACCGUGUACGUACAAGCAGUGGGAGCACCUUUAUGGUGUGACUGCGUACCUUUUGUAUAAUGGGUCAGCGACUUAUAUUCUGUAGCAAGGUUAACCGUAUAGGGGAGCCGCAGGGAAACCGAGUCUUAACUGGGCGUUAAGUUGCAGGGUAUAGACCCGAAACCCGGUGAUCUAGCCAUGGGCAGGUUGAAGGUUGGGUAACACUAACUGGAGGACCGAACCGACUAAUGUUGAAAAAUUAGCGGAUGACUUGUGGCUGGGGGUGAAAGGCCAAUCAAACCGGGAGAUAGCUGGUUCUCCCCGAAAGCUAUUUAGGUAGCGCCUCGUGAACUCAUCUUCGGGGGUAGAGCACUGUUUCGGCUAGGGGGUCAUCCCGACUUACCAACCCGAUGCAAACUACGAAUACCGAAGAAUGUUAUCACGGGAGACACACGGCGGGUGCUAACGUCCGUCGUGAAGAGGGAAACAACCCAGACCGCCAGCUAAGGUCCCAAAGUCACAGUUAAGUGGGAAACGAUGUGGGAAGGCACAGACAGCCAGGAUGUUGGCUUAGAAGCAGCCAUCAUUUAAAGAAAGCGUAAUAGCUCACUGGUCGAGUCGGCCUGCGCGGAAGAUGUAACGGGGCUAAACUGUGCACCGAAGCUGCGGCAGCGACACUAUGUGUUGUUGGGUAGGGGAGCGUUCUGUAAGCCUGCGAAGGUGGCCUGUGAGGGUUGCUGGAGGUAUCAGAAGUGCGAAUGCUGACAUAAGUAACGAUAAUGCGGGUGAAAAGCCCGCACGCCGGAAGACCAAGGGUUCCUGUCCAACGUUAAUCGGGGCAGGGUGAGUCGACCCCUAAGGCGAGGCCGAAAGGCGUAGUCGAUGGGAAACAGGUUAAUAUUCCUGUACUUGGUGUUACUGCGAAGGGGGGACGGAGAAGGCUAUGUUAGCCGGGCGACGGUUGUCCCGGUUUAAGCAUGUAGGCGGAGGUUCCAGGUAAAUCCGGUACCUUUUUAACGCUGAGGUGUGAUGACGAGGCACUACGGUGCUGAAGUAACAAAUGCCCUGCUUCCAGGAAAAGCCUCUAAGCAUCAGGUAACAUUAAAUCGUACCCCAAACCGACACAGGUGGUCAGGUAGAGAAUACCAAGGCGCUUGAGAGAACUCGGGUGAAGGAACUAGGCAAAAUGGUGCCGUAACUUCGGGAGAAGGCACGCUGAUAUGUAGGUGAAGCCCCUGCGGGUGGAGCUGAAAUCAGUCGAAGAUACCAGCUGGCUGCAACUGUUUAUUAAAAACACAGCACUGUGCAAACACGAAAGUGGACGUAUACGGUGUGACGCCUGCCCGGUGCCGGAAGGUUAAUUGAUGGGGUUAUCCGUAAGGAGAAGCUCUUGAUCGAAGCCCCGGUAAACGGCGGCCGUAACUAUAACGGUCCUAAGGUAGCGAAAUUCCUUGUCGGGUAAGUUCCGACCUGCACGAAUGGCGUAAUGAUGGCCAGGCUGUCUCCACCCGAGACUCAGUGAAAUUGAACUCGCUGUGAAGAUGCAGUGUACCCGCGGCAAGACGGAAAGACCCCGUGAACCUUUACUAUAGCUUGACACUGAACAUUGAGCCUUGAUGUGUAGGAUAGGUGGGAGGCUUUGAAGCGUGGACGCCAGUCUGCGUGGAGCCAACCUUGAAAUACCACCCUUUAAUGUUUGAUGUUCUAACGUUGGCCCCUUAUCGGGGUUGCGGACAGUGUCUGGUGGGUAGUUUGACUGGGGCGGUCUCCUCCCAAAGAGUAACGGAGGAGCACGAAGGUUAGCUAAUCCUGGUCGGACAUCAGGAGGUUAGUGCAAUGGCAUAAGCUAGCUUGACUGCGAGCGUGACGGCGCGAGCAGGUGCGAAAGCAGGUCAUAGUGAUCCGGUGGUUCUGAAUGGAAGGGCCAUCGCUCAACGGAUAAAAGGUACUCCGGGGAUAACAGGCUGAUACCGCCCAAGAGUUCAUAUCGACGGCGGUGUUUGGCACCUCGAUGUCGGCUCAUCACAUCCUGGGGCUGAAGUAGGUCCCAAGGGUAUGGCUGUUCGCCAUUUAAAGUGGUACGCGAGCUGGGUUUAGAACGUCGUGAGACAGUUCGGUCCCUAUCUGCCGUGGGCGCUGGAGAAUUGAGGGGGGCUGCUCCUAGUACGAGAGGACCGGAGUGGACGCAUCACUGGUGUUCGGGUUGUCAUGCCAAUGGCAUUGCCCGGUAGCUAAAUGCGGAAGAGAUAAGUGCUGAAAGCAUCUAAGCACGAAACUUGCCCCGAGAUGAGUUCUCCCUGACUCCUUGAGAGUCCUGAAGGAACGUUAAAGACGAUGACGUUGAUAGGUCGGGUGUGUAAGCGUAGCGAUACGUUGAGCUAACCGAUACUAAUGAACCGUGAGGCUUAACCUU
RNAcentral lists this ribosomal RNA (2762 nucleotides) under Klebsiella aerogenes. RNAcentral describes it as "bacterial LSU rRNA". It matches the Rfam family "Bacterial large subunit ribosomal RNA". Lineage: Bacteria; Pseudomonadati; Pseudomonadota; Gammaproteobacteria; Enterobacterales; Enterobacteriaceae. The record is from RNAcentral.